Molecule: ribosomal RNA, 447 nt
Filed under: uncultured Streptococcus sp.
Lineage: Bacteria; Bacillati; Bacillota; Bacilli; Lactobacillales; Streptococcaceae
Description: bacterial SSU rRNA
Rfam family: Bacterial small subunit ribosomal RNA
Source: RNAcentral
GGAGCAUGUGGUUUAAUUCGAAGCAACGCGAAGAACCUUACCAGGUCUUGACAUCCCGAUGCUAUUUCUAGAGAUAGAAAGUUACUUCGGUACAUCGGUGACAGGUGGUGCAUGGUUGUCGUCAGCUCGUGUCGUGAGAUGUUGGGUUAAGUCCCGCAACGAGCGCAACCCCUAUUGUUAGUUGCCAUCAUUCAGUUGGGCACUCUAGCGAGACUGACCGGUAAUAAACCGGAGGAAGGUGGGAUGACGUCAAAUCAUCAUGCCCCUUAUGACCUGGGCUACACACGUGCUACAAUGGUUGGUACAACGAGUUGCGAGUCGGUGACGGCGAGCUAAUCUCUUAAAGCCAAUCUCAGUUCGGAUUGUAGGCUGCAACUCGCCUACAUGAAGUCGGAAUCGCUAGUAAUCGCAGGUCAGCAUACUGCGGUGAAUACGUUCCCGGGCCUU